This 430-nucleotide long non-coding RNA is filed under the name Taeniopygia guttata (zebra finch). RNAcentral describes it as "lncRNA (ENSTGUG00000024219.1)". The record is from RNAcentral. Lineage: Eukaryota; Metazoa; Chordata; Aves; Passeriformes; Estrildidae.
AGGACUUAAACCUUUAUGAGGUCAGAACUGGGGAGUUUUUCCCUUGAUUGACAGUGACCUCACAAGCCAGCAAGACAAUUAAUUAGCUCCUGUUUAUCCAAGUGAGCCAGGAAGGCAAUGGACUACACCUGAAUUCCACUCAUUCUGUGUUGGUACAGAGAGGCCUGACAAACUAACAGUGAUAUACAAGAAUUCCUGCUUAAAAUAAAAAAAAAAGUGUUUCCUACAGUUUUAAUGAGCUGGUGUUUGCCCAGUACACUCAGCUAUGGUGUGUGCUGGCCUGUCUAGCUGAUGGCGCAAAUUGCAGAUGUAUCGCAUCCAGACUUUCAGAGAGACAGAAGGGGAAUUGCCAUGUCCACAGCCUUCUCAGACUUCCUUCCAGAUAAACACACACACAGAACAUGAUGAAACAAGAAUUUUCGCAAAGGAA